Molecule: long non-coding RNA, 466 nt
Organism: Asparagus officinalis (garden asparagus)
Lineage: Eukaryota; Viridiplantae; Streptophyta; Magnoliopsida; Asparagales; Asparagaceae
Exons: 4
Source: RefSeq, a predicted model, not a curated record
AGGAUGAUCUCAGAGCUGAGCAGCUUGAUAGAUCAGCCAGUUGUGGACUUCCAGAACGUGGGUUCUUUCGUUCAUCAGCUGAAAGGGAGCAGCUCAAGUGGAGGAGUUAAGAUGCGGAGAAGAUUGAAGAGGAGAAGCUCACUCAAGAGUCGACUCCUAUCUUAGGUUAAGAUAAAGAACUGCGUGAAUGGAACUGAGGGCAACAGUGUCGUUGGAUUAAGUGCUAGGUUUGGUUCAUCCUUGCCUAGCCAUGCUUCUAAAGCUUUAAAAACAUCUGCUGUUCUUGCAAAUCCUUUCAACUGCUGUACUAAAUUAUCCAUGAAGGUCUACCUUACUUUUCUUUGAAAAUAUAUGCUUAUUUUCAAAUGCAAACUACAAUAUCUCCCCUAUCUUCUCUACUCUGAUGUUGCUUAUCUAUUUGUAAAUUCAGUUUCAUGAGGCGUUUUUGUGAGGAAUUAUUAGAUUU